Molecule: long non-coding RNA, 5124 nt
Filed under: Sus scrofa (pig)
Lineage: Eukaryota; Metazoa; Chordata; Mammalia; Artiodactyla; Suidae
Description: lncRNA (ENSSSCG00050066616.1)
Source: RNAcentral
GGAGAAAAUCACAUCUUUCUGGACCCCAUGUUGUCACCUCCCCAUCUUUAAGGAAUAAAAACCUCUAAAGGACAAUAGAAAAAGGGGGUUCUUCUCCCCCCGCCCCCAGCUGUCCUGGAAGCUAUUUGCUUUUCUUUAAUAAAGACUUUGCUUGCUUGCUGCCUGUGUGUUCGCGGAGUUCAUUCUUCCACUGCCGUGAACAAGAACCCAGAUUCCAGUGUCAUCUUUCCAGUAUCAGUACCUUAGGGGACCUAGAUAACUUUGCCGUUGCAACGGAAAGUGGUGAGAAAUUCCCUAUGUUCAGGCUUUCUUCCCUCUUCGCUCUAGCCCCUCUCUCUAUAAAUCUUGUUUUACUUCUUAAAUACUCUUAGCCCACUCUGGACCACCCCCUCCUAAUACAACAUCUCCUGACCACUGUUCAGGUUUUCCUUCCUCUUCUCCUUUGACACUUCUGACCACAGCCCACCCCCACCACUCCUAAUCCCAUUGCAGCUGCUCCAGAUCCAAUUCCAGUUCCACAACCUCCAACUUAUGAUCUCUUUCAACCUGACCCCCCUCCUAUACCUGUUCCAGGAACUCGCUCAAAGCCUCGGCUCCACCCUCUACCCUGAGGAUCUCAGGACCUACCCCAACUUCCCUAAAUUCCCUCCCCAUACCCAGUCCCAAACGACCUUAAAGCAGGAAGCUUCACAACAGGACCCUGCUCCUUUCUCUUGCUCCCCUCCUCCCUUUAAGGGAAGUAGCUGGAACAGAAGGCAUUGCCCGGGUUCAUGUCCCAUUCUCCCUUUCCAAUCUAUCUCAAAUCAAAAAGUGUCUUGGCUCCUUCUCCUCAAACCCCUCAAUGAGACCUUUUUAAUUUGGCCUUUAAGAUUUUCAAUAACUGGGAAGAACAGGCAAAGUUAGAGAGGGCCCAAUAAGAUCAGGCCAAAUACCACCUUUUAGCCACUGCCCAAUAUGGCUCCAAACUUUCAUCAGUCAACAAAGACAAGAAGCCACCUGGGCCCUGCUUCAAAUGUGGCAAAGAAGGCCACUGGGCUCACUCAUACCCAAAGCUGAAGCCCCCUCCAGGUCCAUGUCCCAGCUGUGGCAUAAAGGGACAUUGAAAUGUCGAUUGCCCAAAUCCCCCUCUAGGGAUCCGGACGUCUCCUCCUGGUCCCGAGCAGGAGUCCUCCAACCCAGCUCUGCCCAGCCUCCUCGGACUCACUGCUAAAGACUGAAGAUGCCCAGGGCCCCAGGCCCCAACUCUCAUCACCUCUAUGGAGCCCAGGGUAACUCUCACAGUGGGAGAUUAUGCAACUGAAAAUAAAUCACAACCCAUUUGCAAAAGGUGAUUAUGACACGCUUACUACUAUGAAUGAUGCUAAGAUGAAUAUUCUUGUAUAUGUACAUGGGAUUCUACUGAAUACAAAUCUAUGAGAAGAUUCUCCAGAUGAAGGUGCACCAGAACUCCCAACGGGACUUGGAGGUGGCCAUCAACAGCCAGACCAAUCUCGAGCUCUAUGCUUCCUACCUCUGCCUGUCCAUAUCAUACUAAUUUGACUGCAAUGAUGUAGCUUUGAAGAACUUUGCCAAAUACUUUUUCACCAAUCUCCUGAGGAAAGGGAACAUGCUCAGGAAUUGAUGAAGCUGCAGAACCAAGGAGGUGGUGAAAUCUUCUUUCAGGAUAUUGAGAAACCAGACCAUGAUGACUGGGAAAAUGGGUUGAAUGCAAUGGAAUGUGUGCUACACUUAGAAAAAAGCAUGAAUCAGUCACUACUAGAACUGCACAAACUAGCCACUGACAAAAAUGAGCUCCCAUGUAGCCCCUAACAUUUAGAACUGAAUUGAGUGGCCAUUCCAUUUAGUUCCUUCUUGAUCAAUAUAACAAAAAAACAAACAAAGAAACAAAAUCUAAGUCUGAUGAACAAAGUCCUGACCCACCACAACUUUUAUGACUGCUGUGUUAGGUCAAGUUCUUUGGAAGCACACCUUGAAAUGAGGAUUUCUAUGCAACCUACUUGUGAAGGAAGUACUCCCCAAAGAAACUGGUAAGGACAGAGGAAGCAUGAUAGGAAAGGGAAAGAAACCAGCCAAGGUGCAAUCUCAGGCAAUGUCUCAGCCAGCAUCUGCCUGAUCCCAGCCUCAAGUGGACAAUUUCAGCCAUAGUUCUGAAGGGUUUUGAAGUUAAACCACCCCCUCUUUAAAGAGGAAAUUCUUCUUUUGAGAAACAUGAGAAACAGUUCCUGGAUGGCUGCUAGACACUGGUAGUGACUGACUACUUAGUCACCAUGUGACAUAGAAUGUGAGUUUCUCAGAGUUCCCAAACCUGUCAUGGCUCAGCAGAAAUAAGCCUGACUAGUAGCUGUGGCCUAGGCUGGCAACUGUAGCUCUGACUUGAUCCCUAGCCUGGGAAUUUCCAGAUGCCACAAGUGUGGCCCUAAAAAGCAAAAAACAAACAAAAAAAACAAAAACAGAGAGUGUGAGUUUCUCCUCCUAAUGGAGGAUUUCUGAAACACCAAGCAAUAAAUUCACAUGUGCCCUGGUAGCAGUCCAUCUACAAGAAGUAGUAUUAUGUAGUACUUAGUCUCCCCCCAAGUGUUCCACCUCUGGUCUGAUCCCAAUGAGUCCACCUCUGGCAUGCAUGUCUUGUGUAAUCCUCUCCCACAUGGUGUCAAGGUUGGUCAGUAUAGCCGCCAGAAUACAGCAGAAGUGAUAGAAUGUAACUUCUGAAGCCAGCUUAUAGAGACAUAAUGUUGAUGCCUUGUUUCCUCUCUUGGAUCACUAGUUCUGGGACAACUUAGCUGCCAUAUCAUGAAGACAUUCAAGCAGCCUAUGAAGAAGUCCAUAUGGCAUGCAAAUGAAGCCUCCUGCCAGCAGCUGGGGAGGAACUGAGACCCCGACCUCUGCUGUGUGAGGCAGCCACCAUGGGAGUGUGUUCUCCAGCCCCAGUCAAGCCUUCAGAUGACUGCAACCCCAAAUGACACCUUGAUUACAGCUUUAUGAGAAACUCUGAGCCAGAACCACCCAGCUAAGAUGAUCCCAGAUUCCUGAUCCUCAAAAACUAUGUAUGAUGAUACAUGUUUGUUGUUUUAAACUGCCAUGUUUUAGUGUAGUUUGCUAUGCAACUGAUAACUGAUAUACAGCAUAGUAUAUUUGAACAGGUCUUAAAUUCACACAUAAGUGUCAUGAGGAAGUUCACACUCCAAGGGGCUAUAUCCAUCACUGUGACACCCCUCCCUCAACUAAUGGGGAUUGUUCUAGAGAGUUUGAGUUUUCAGAACACUCUGUAGGUUAUGUAGGCACCAGUGGAAAUGAUAUAAUGGGCUUUAAAGUCAAUGUAGAAGGAAAUUCCUCCUAACAGGGAGAACUUGAAGCUGUGUAUCUCAUUGUCUACUUUGCUUUCAAGCCUGCUUUGUGGCUGGGGUAUGAAAACUAGGCUGGGCCAAUUAGACACACUAGAUGGGAUAUUACUCAACAACUUAUGCCAAAAAAGCAGGAAUUUAUUCUUGUGAAGGUGGUGUCAAUAGAAAUAGCUAUGAACCAUUUCCAGUGAUUGCAACAAAGUCCAGGUCUCAGAGGUUUUUUGUUUUUUUUGUGUGUUUUUUUUUUUUUUGGUCUUUUUAGGGCUGCACACAUGGCAUAUGGAAUUUCCCAGGCUAGGUGCUGAAUCGGAGCUGUAGCUGCCGGCCUGCACCACAGCCACAGCAACGCCAGAUCUGAGCCACAUCUGCAAACUACACCAAACUCGUGCAACACUGGAUUCUUAACCCACUGAGUGAGUGAGGCCAGGGGUCGAACCUGAGUCCUCAUCAAUAAUAGUCAGAUUCAUUUCUGCUGAGCCAUGAUGGGAACUCCCAGGGUCCAGUAUUGAUGGUAUCAGUGAUAACCAGUAUAAGUGGUAUCUUCAUGGCACAAGUGCCACAGAAUCAUUUUGGACAUUUUUACUAGCCUUAUUUUUAUAGCACUCUAGGAUAUUCUGUAAGCUAUCCAAUCAUUUAAUAAAUUCCUUCUAUCAAAAACUGGCCAGAAUUGAUCUCUAUUAUUUUCAAUUGAGAACUCUGAGUAUGGGACCCAAUUAAGUUUAAAAGCUUUUGUACAGCAGAGGAAACUGUCAACAAAGUGAAAAGGUAACUUACAGAACUGGAGAAAAUAUUUGCAAAUGAUAUGACCAAUAAGGGGUUAAUAUCCAAAAUAUAUACACAGCUCAUAGAAAUCAAUAUCAAAAACAACAACAACAGAUCAGAAAAAUAGGCGGAAGACCUGGAUAGACAUUUUUCCAAAGAAGACAUACAGAGAGACAAUAGGCACAUGAAAAGAUGUUCAACAUGGCUAAUCAAAGAAAUGCAAAUCAAAAUCAUAAUAUCUCACACCUAUCAGAAUAGCUAUUAUCAAAAAGAUGACAAAUAACAAAUAUCGGUAAGGAUGUAGAGAAAAGGGAUCACUUGUACACUAUUGGUGGGAAUGUAAAUUGGUGCAGCCACUGUGGAAAACAGUAUGGAGGUUUCUCAAAAAACUAAAAAUAGAACUACUAUAAGUCCACUCCCAGGUGUAUAUCAGAAGAAAACAAAGACACUGAUUUGAAAAGAUAUGUACAUUCCAACGUUCAUAGCAGCUUUUAUUUACAAUAGCCAAGAUACGGCCACAAUCUAAAUGUCCAUACAACAGAUGAAUGGAUAAAGAUGUGGUACAUGCAAUGAAAUACUAUGUAGCCAUAAAGAGAAUGAAAUUUUGCCUUUCGCAAUAAGGAUGGACUUGGAGGGUAUUAUACUUAGUGAAAUAAGCCAUACAGAGAAAGAUAAAAAGUGUAUGAUAUCAGUUAUAUGUGGAACCUAAAAAACACAAUAAACUUGUGAAUAUAACAAAAAAGAAACAGACUCACAGUUAUAAAGAACAAACUAGGAGUUCCCGUCAUUGCACAGUGGAAAGAAAUCUGACUAGGAACCAUGAGGUUGUGGAUUCGAUCCCUGGCCUCACUCAGUGGGUUAAGGAUCUAGCAUUGCCGUGAGCUGUGGUGUAGGUUGCAGACGUGGCUUGGAUCCUGCGUUGCUGUGGCUCUGGCAUAGGCCAGCAGCUAUAGCUCCAAUUCAACCCCUAGCCUAGGAACCUCCAUAUGCCGAAAGCACAGUCAAAAAAAAAAAAAAAAAA